UACGUAGGCAGCGAGCGUUGUUCGGAGUUACUGGGCGUAAAGGGUGUGUAGGCGGUUGUUUAAGUUUGGUGUGAAAUCUCCCGGCUCAACUGGGAGGGUGCGCCGAAUACUGAAUGACUCGAGUGCGGGAGAGGAGAGUGGAAUUCCGGGUGUAGCGGUGAAAUGCGUAGAUAUCCGGAGGAACACCGGUGGCGAAGGCGGCAUCCUGGACCGGCAUUGACGCUGAGGAGCGAAAGCCAGGGGAGCAAACGGG
Molecule: ribosomal RNA, 253 nt
Filed under: uncultured bacterium
Lineage: Bacteria
Description: partial 16S ribosomal RNA
Rfam family: Bacterial small subunit ribosomal RNA
Source: RNAcentral